AACGGGAAUAACUCCAUAAACCAGCAAUUGUAUUUCACUAAUGUGUUCACUGUUGACUCAGGUUAUCACGGUCUUAGGGUGGGAUUAAUGUAUUUUCGCAAAACCAGGCCUGCAUGUCAGGUGGUCGACUUUUGUGAUGAGAUGAGCUGGAGAGGAUUCAGAAGCUUUAUGGACUUAAUAGCCGUAAAGUGAGUUGGCUGACAAAGGUAGAGAAUAAAAAGAGAGAUCCAGAGGGCAUUACUAGCCUCUGAAUAAUAGGUAUGCAUAUCCCUGGAUUUUUAGAAGUAGCAGGUGGUCAUGAGUCACUGUUUUCAAACUUGUUCGCUUUUCUGUCACAUAAGAGAGGUAUUUUGGCAAAAUACAUAGUUAUAUUACAAAAUAAUUAUUCGCCCAUUACAGCAAUUCCAAUGAUAUUGCUUUCUUUGGACAUGAAGUGUUAAUCAAUAUUGCUUGUAGCAAUAUUUAAUACUGAUACAACAACAAUUAUUUUUGCUCUCAACCACUUGGGUUUUUCCCUCCUUUUAAUUCCUGGGGGAGAAAAACACGUCCCGUCAAAUCAAAAUGAUUUUUUUUUUAAUUCUUAUGACAGUGUGAUUAUAUAGAACAUGAAGUCUCUUCUUUUACCAAGUAGGAAGUACUUUGAACUUGUUAGAUAAUGACACAUCAGUGGUUAUUUUUGAUGAACUUCUUAAGAAUACUAAAUAGAUUUGAAUUAAAAUUUUUUACUAAUUCUCAUUUAAUAUUCAUUCUUUAGAACUGCAGUCAGCCGGGAGAAAUAAAGUCUUCACUCUAAUAAUCUUUCAUCUUUCUAAUUGAAUUGAUGUAUAUCUGCUAUUUUCAAAUCUCUAAAGGAAUGACCAUACCUGACCUUGGACAAAGGUCUUGGGAUUUGAUACCUUGAGGGUAGAGUUUAGAAAAGGUAUCAAAAUGUAUUUGGACUUUCAUGGCUUAAUAAGACAAGGAUUUCAAGUAGCAAAGAGAUUCAACACCUCACCUGCCUUCGCCUGGGUUCAGCCAUCACAAGGAACCACACCCUUCAAACCCCCACCCCACCAGCGGCUACUUCUGUGCCUCUCCCCAGGCCGCUGUCCUUCCCUGCCUCUUCUUAUUACUUAACAGUUUCUUUGCUUCUGACCCUGGUGUGGGCCUCAUUCUUGUCUUCUACCAUUUCCUUAAACUUGAUGAUUAGAUUAGCAAACCCUGUAAUAUGUUCUCCCUAAAACCUUGCUUUUGCCUUUUGCCAUAUUCUGUCACUUUUACUUACAAAGGAUCUGCUCCACCAUCAAUGUCAAAGCACUCUGGCUGCUCUGGACCUUGUGUUCCCCCAAAUUCAUAUGUUGAAGCCCUAACCCCCAAUGGGUUGGUACAUGGAGAUGGGAGCUUUGGCAGAUGAGAGGGUUUAGUUGAGAUCAUGAAGGUGGGGCCCUCAUUAGGGGAUUAGUGCCCAUAGAGAAGGAGAUACCAGAGAGCUUGCUUUGGCUCUCUCCCUGUGCACACAAGAGAAGCCCUGUGAAGGUCCAGUGAGAAGGUGCACAUCUGCAACCCAAGGAGGGAGCUCCGGCCAGACACUACCAUGCUGGCACUUUGAUCUUGGGCUUCCGGUCUCUAGACUGGAAAAAAUAAAUGCCUAUUGUUCAAGCCA
This 1642-nucleotide long non-coding RNA is filed under the name Neogale vison (American mink). RNAcentral describes it as "Neovison vison (American mink) lncRNA (ENSNVIG00000009832.1)". Lineage: Eukaryota; Metazoa; Chordata; Mammalia; Carnivora; Mustelidae. The record is from RNAcentral.